GGCGAACGCUGGCGGCGUGCUUAACACAUGCAAGUCGAACGGAAAGGCCCUGCUUUUGUGGGGUGCUCGAGUGGCGAACGGGUGAGUAACACGUGAGUAACCUGCCCUUGACUUUGGGAUAACUUCAGGAAACUGGGGCUAAUACCGGAUAGGAGCUCCUGCUGCAUGGUGGGGGUUGGAAAGUUUCGGCGGUUGGGGAUGGACUCGCGGCUUAUCAGCUUGUUGGUGGGGUAGUGGCUUACCAAGGCUUUGACGGGUAGCCGGCCUGAGAGGGAGACCGGCCACAUUGGGACUGAGAUACGGCCCAGACUCCUACGGGAGGCAGCAGUGGGGAAUAUUGCACAAUGGGCGGAAGCCUGAUGCAGCAACGCCGCGUGCGGGAUGACGGCCUUCGGGUUGUAAACCGCUUUCGCCUGUGACGAAGCGUGAGUGACGGUAAUGGGUAAAGAAGCACCGGCUAACUACGUG
Molecule: ribosomal RNA, 468 nt
Filed under: uncultured bacterium
Lineage: Bacteria
Description: partial 16S ribosomal RNA
Rfam family: Bacterial small subunit ribosomal RNA
Source: RNAcentral